RNAcentral lists this ribosomal RNA (391 nucleotides) under Vibrio parahaemolyticus. Its description in RNAcentral is "bacterial SSU rRNA". It matches the Rfam family "Bacterial small subunit ribosomal RNA", at positions 68 to 467 of the family's 1533-position model. The record is from RNAcentral. Lineage: Bacteria; Pseudomonadati; Pseudomonadota; Gammaproteobacteria; Vibrionales; Vibrionaceae.
GGGGGACGAUAACGGCGUCGAGCGGCGGACGGGUGAGUAAUGCCUAGGAAAUUGCCCUGAUGUGGGGGAUAACCAUUGGAAACGAUGGCUAAUACCGCAUGAUGCCUACGGGCCAAAGAGGGGGACCUUCGGGCCUCUCGCGUCAGGAUAUGCCUAGGUGGGAUUAGCUAGUUGGUGAGGUAAGGGCUCACCAAGGCGACGAUCCCUAGCUGGUCUGAGAGGAUGAUCAGCCACACUGGAACUGAGACACGGUCCAGACUCCUACGGGAGGCAGCAGUGGGGAAUAUUGCACAAUGGGCGCAAGCCUGAUGCAGCCAUGCCGCGUGUGUGAAGAAGGCCUUCGGGUUGUAAAGCACUUUCAGUCGUGAGGAAGGUAGUGUAGUUAAUAGCU